GAUGAACGCUGGCGGCGUGCCUAAUACAUGCAAGUCGAGCGAACGGACGAGAAGCUUGCUUCUCUGAUGUUAGCGGCGGACGGGUGAGUAACACGUGGAUAACCUACCUAUAAGACUGGGAUAACUUCGGGAAACCGGAGCUAAUACCGGAUAAUAUUUUGAACCGCAUGGUUCAAAAGUGAAAGACGGUCUUGCUGUCACUUAUAGAUGGAUCCGCGCUGCAUUAGCUAGUUGGUAAGGUAACGGCUUACCAAGGCAACGAUGCAUAGCCGACCUGAGAGGGGGAUCGGCCACACUGGAGCUGAGACACGGUCCAGACGCCUGCGGGAGGCAGCAGUAGGGAAUCUUCCGCAAUGGGCGAAAGCCUGACGGAGCAACGCCGCGUGAGUGAUGAAGGUCUUCGGAUCGUAAAACUCUGUUAUUAGGGAAGAACAUAUGUGUAAGUAACUGUGCACAUCUUGACGGUACCUAAUCAGAAAGCCACGGCUAACUACGUG
This 497-nucleotide ribosomal RNA is filed under the name uncultured bacterium. RNAcentral's name for it is "partial 16S ribosomal RNA". It matches the Rfam family "Bacterial small subunit ribosomal RNA", at positions 28 to 507 of the family's 1533-position model. The record is from RNAcentral.